RNAcentral lists this ribosomal RNA (300 nucleotides) under Triticum aestivum (bread wheat). Its description in RNAcentral is "partial small subunit ribosomal RNA". The record is from RNAcentral. Lineage: Eukaryota; Viridiplantae; Streptophyta; Magnoliopsida; Poales; Poaceae.
AUGGCGGCGGGGCCUCGGUUGCCCUGCUCCUAUGUGGGGAACCCCGGAUCUGGAGCGGCGGCUCCAUUGGCAAGGCAUGACCGGCUAACAGCCGUGCGGGUGGUGGAUCCAGUGUCCCGGCCGUGCGGGCGGCGGAAACCGGUGGUCGUUGGUGGCCGGCGGCAGCUUCUGCAAUGGUCGGUGUGCGCGAUCUGGCGCCUCCCUUCCUCCCCUGUUCGGCGUGCGGACCAGCCUGGUCGGGCCGCACUUCCUCUUGGUCCCUGUUCUGUACAGGAGGUGCUGCUGGUGACAGAGAUCUAG